RNAcentral lists this microRNA precursor (78 nucleotides) under Microtus ochrogaster (prairie vole). RNAcentral's name for it is "miRNA (ENSMOCG00000005702.1)". Lineage: Eukaryota; Metazoa; Chordata; Mammalia; Rodentia; Cricetidae. The record is from RNAcentral.
UCUACUAGAAUCAGAGCUAGUUUGGAAUAGAGAUGCAGACCUGUUGUUUCAGCACUCAGGAGGCUGAGGCAGGAGGAU